UUUAUGGAGAGUUUGAUCCUGGCUCAGGAUGAACGCUGGCGGCGUGCCUAAUACAUGCAAGUCGAGCGAACGGACGAGAAGCUUGCUUCUCUGAUGUUAGCGGCGGACGGGUGAGUAACACGUGGAUAACCUACCUAUAAGACUGGGAUAACUUCGGGAAACCGGAGCUAAUACCGGAUAAUAUUUUGAACCGCAUGGUUCAAAAGUGAAAGACGGUCUUGCUGUCACUUAUAGAUGGAUCCGCGCUGCAUUAGCUAGUUGGUAAGGUAACGGCUUACCAAGGCAACGAUGCAUAGCCGACCUGAGAGGGUGAUCGGCCACACUGGAACUGAGACACGGUCCAGACUCCUACGGGAGGCAGCAGUAGGGAAUCUUCCGCAAUGGGCGAAAGCCUGACGGAGCAACGCCGCGUGAGUGAUGAAGGUCUUCGGAUCGUAAAACUCUGUUAUUAGGGAAGAACAUAUGUGU
RNAcentral lists this ribosomal RNA (468 nucleotides) under Staphylococcus aureus. Its description in RNAcentral is "bacterial SSU rRNA". It matches the Rfam family "Bacterial small subunit ribosomal RNA", at positions 1 to 458 of the family's 1533-position model. The record is from RNAcentral. Lineage: Bacteria; Bacillati; Bacillota; Bacilli; Caryophanales; Staphylococcaceae.